Molecule: non-coding RNA, 103 nt
Organism: Pelodiscus sinensis (Chinese soft-shelled turtle)
Lineage: Eukaryota; Metazoa; Chordata; Testudines; Trionychidae
Source: RefSeq, a predicted model, not a curated record
GCCCGGGCUGCCACCGGCUCCGACCACGACAUGGCCACCAUCCGGCAGCUGCUCCAGCUUGGCGACGUGAAUGCCAAAGCCAGCCAGGCCGGCCAGACGCCCC